GGAUUUUUUUUUUUUUGGGGUGUUUUUUUGUUAAGGUAAUCUGGCGGUAGGCCUAACACAUGCAAGUCGAACGGCAGCACAGAGGAGCUUGUUCUUUGGGUGGCGAGUGGCGGACGGGUGAGGAAUACAUCGGAAUCUACUCUGUCGUGGGGGAUAACGUAGGGAAACUUACGCUAAUACCGCAUACGACCUACGGGUGAAAGCAGGGGAUCUUCGGACCUUGCGCGAUUGAAUGAGCCGAUGUCGGAUUAGCUAGUUGGCGGGGUAAAGGCCCACCAAGGCGACGAUCCGUAGCUGGUCUGAGAGGAUGAUCAGCCACACUGGAACUGAGACACGGUCCAGACUCCUACGGGAGGCAGCAGUGGGGAAUAUUGGACAAUGGGCGCAAGCCUGAUCCAGCCAUACCGCGUGGGUGAAGAAGGCCUUCGGGUUGUAAAGCCCUUUUGUUGGGAAAGAAAUCCAGCCGGCUAAUACCUGGUUGGGAUGACGGUACCCAAAGAAUAAGCACCGGCUAACUUCGUGCCAGCAGCCGCGGUAAUACGAAGGGUGCAAGCGUUACUCGGAAUUACUGGGCGUAAAGCGUGCGUAGGUGGUCGUUUAAGUCCGUUGUGAAAUCCCUGGGCUCAACCUGGGAACUGCAGUGGAUACUGGGCGAUCUAGAGUGUGGUAGAGGGUAGCGGAAUUCCUGGUGUAGCAGUGAAAUGCGUAGAGAUCAGGAGGAACAUCCAUGGCGAAGGCAGCUACCUGGACCAACACUGACACUGAGGCACGAAAGAGCGCC
Molecule: ribosomal RNA, 781 nt
Filed under: Stenotrophomonas maltophilia D457
Lineage: Bacteria; Pseudomonadati; Pseudomonadota; Gammaproteobacteria; Lysobacterales; Lysobacteraceae
Description: bacterial SSU rRNA
Rfam family: Bacterial small subunit ribosomal RNA
Source: RNAcentral